RNAcentral lists this ribosomal RNA (312 nucleotides) under Vairimorpha apis. Its description in RNAcentral is "SSU rRNA". It matches the Rfam family "Microsporidia small subunit ribosomal RNA", at positions 52 to 363 of the family's 1311-position model. The record is from RNAcentral. Lineage: Eukaryota; Fungi; Microsporidia; Nosematidae.
GCAUGUCUUUGACGUACUAUGUACUGAAAGAUGGACUGCUCAGUAAUACUCACUUUAUUUGAUGUACAUUAUAUAUAACUACGUUAAAGUGUAGCUAACAUAUGUACAGUAAGAGUGAGACCUAUCAGCUAGUUGUUAAGGUAAUGGCUUAACAAGGCAAUAACGGGUAACGGUAUUACUUUGUAAUAUUCCGGAGAAGGAGCCUGAGAGACGGCUACUAAGUCUAAGGAUUGCAGCAGGGGCGAAACUUGACCUAUGGAUAUUAUCUGAGGCAGUUAUGGGAAGUAACAUAGUUGUUUCACAUUUUAAACG